AGCAUGUGGACAGGUGGAAGUUAACCUACAAAAUUAUGGCCAUGCAAGCAAGGUGUUGCCAAAUGGCAUGAGCAAUGGAAAAUCAACAGUGAAAGUCUACCAAAAUGGUAAUGGUGUCAAGUCUUGCAAUGGCUCAAUAAAUGGUGUGUACAGCAAUGGCAAUGGUGUGCAUUUUUAAGGAAGCACAAUCAAUUUAGCUAUGCACCUCUGGUUACGAUUUCGGUUUUUCUUAAGCACUUUUGGUUGCUUUGGGGUAUUUUUGUACAGCAGCUGAGUAUGGGUGGACAUUUUUUGAUUUCUAAAGUGACUUGUUUUAGGACGGAGUUGGAGUAUGAAAAACAAAGCUUGUAUUCUCCACUAUAUCAGUGAAAUAUGGGCUUAAGGUAUUGCAU
This 392-nucleotide unclassified non-coding RNA is filed under the name Hevea brasiliensis (rubber tree). Lineage: Eukaryota; Viridiplantae; Streptophyta; Magnoliopsida; Malpighiales; Euphorbiaceae. The record is from RNAcentral.